GAUGAACGCUGGCGGCGUGCCUAACACAUGCAAGUCGAACGAAGCGCCUGGCCCCGACUUCUUCGGAACGAGGAGCCUUGCGACUGAGUGGCGGACGGGUGAGUAACGCGUGGGCAACCUGCCUUGCACUGGGGGAUAACAGCCACGAAAUAGGCGUGCUAAUACCGCCAUAAGACCGAACGACGCCGCCAUAGGCGGCGGCGGCCGAAACGACCCGGCCGGUGC
This 225-nucleotide ribosomal RNA is filed under the name uncultured bacterium. Its description in RNAcentral is "partial 16S ribosomal RNA". It matches the Rfam family "Bacterial small subunit ribosomal RNA", at positions 28 to 221 of the family's 1533-position model. The record is from RNAcentral.